CAAUAGCGUAUAUUAAAGUUGUUGACAGUUAAAAGCUCGUAGUUUGGAUUUCCGGCGUGAGGGAUCAGUCUGACUUCUAGUCAGUACUUGGUCCUCUCAUGCCGUCCUUGAAUGGUGCAUCCUGGCAUUAAGUUGUCGGGGUGAGAGCCGUUUCAUCGUUUACUGUGAGAAAAUUAGAGUGUUCAAAGCAGGCCUAUGCUCUGAAUAGGUUAGCAUGGAAUAAUAGAAUAGGACUUUGGUUCUAUUUUGUUGGUUUCUAGGACCGAAGUAAUGAUUAAUAGGGACGAGUUGGGGGCAUUCAUAUUCCAUUGUCAGAGGUGAAAUUACUUGGA
Molecule: ribosomal RNA, 332 nt
Filed under: uncultured eukaryote
Lineage: Eukaryota
Description: bacterial SSU rRNA
Rfam family: Eukaryotic small subunit ribosomal RNA
Source: RNAcentral